CCCUGGUUAGCUCAGUUGGUAGAGCGCUCCACUGGUAAUUGGAGAGGUCCCUGGUUCCAUACCAGGACCAGGCA
Molecule: transfer RNA, 74 nt
Filed under: Ixodes scapularis (black-legged tick)
Lineage: Eukaryota; Metazoa; Arthropoda; Arachnida; Ixodida; Ixodidae
Rfam family: tRNA
About the family: Transfer RNA (tRNA) molecules are approximately 80 nucleotides in length. Their secondary structure includes four short double-helical elements and three loops (D, anti-codon, and T loops).
Source: Rfam by way of RNAcentral